RNAcentral lists this ribosomal RNA (881 nucleotides) under uncultured bacterium. Its description in RNAcentral is "bacterial SSU rRNA". It matches the Rfam family "Bacterial small subunit ribosomal RNA", at positions 1 to 916 of the family's 1533-position model. The record is from RNAcentral.
GUUUUCGAUCCAUGGCUCAGGAUGAACGCUGGCGGCGUGCCUAACACAUGCAAGUCGAGCGAUUUACUUAGGUAAAGAGCGGCGGACGGGUGAGUAACGCGUGGGUAACCUGCCCUGUACACACGGAUAACAUACCGAAAGGUAUGCUAAUACGAGAUAAUGUACUUUUGUCGCAUGGCAAAAGUAUCAAAGCUCCGGCGGUACAGGAUGGACCCGCGUCUGAUUAGCUAGUUGGAGAGGUAAUGGCUCACCAAGGCGACGAUCAGUAGCCGACCUGAGAGGGUGAUCGGCCACAUUGGAACUGAGACACGGUCCAAACUCCUACGGGAGGCAGCAGUGGGGAAUAUUGCACAAUGGGCGAAAGCCUGAUGCAGCAACGCCGCGUGAGCGAUGAAGGCCUUCGGGUCGUAAAGCUCUGUCCUCAAGGAAGAUAAUGACGGUACUUGAGGAGGAAGCCCCGGCUAACUACGUGCCAGCAGCCGCGGUAAUACGUAGGGGGCUAGCGUUAUCCGGAAUUACUGGGCGUAAAGGGUGCGUAGGUGGUUUCUUAAGUCAGAAGUGAAAGGCUACGGCUCAACCGUAGUAAGCUUUUGAAACUGAGAAACUUGAGUGCAGGAGAGGAGAGUAGAAUUCCUAGUGUAGCGGUGAAAUGCGUAGAUAUUAGGAGGAAUACCAGUUGCGAAGGCGACUCUCUGGUCUGUAACUGACGCUGAGGCGCGAAAGCGUGGGGAGCAAACAGGAUUAGAUACCCUGGUAGUCCACGCCGUAAACGAUGAGUGCUAAGUGUUAGAGGGUUUCCGCCCUUUAGUGCUGAAGUUAACGCAUUAAGCACUCCGCCUGGGGAGUACGGCCGCAAGGCUGAAACUCAAAGGAAUUGACGG